RNAcentral lists this ribosomal RNA (464 nucleotides) under uncultured bacterium. RNAcentral's name for it is "bacterial SSU rRNA". It matches the Rfam family "Bacterial small subunit ribosomal RNA", at positions 962 to 1427 of the family's 1533-position model. The record is from RNAcentral.
CGAAGAACCUUACCAGGUCUUGACAUCCUCUGACAACCCGAGAGAUCGGGCGUUCCCUUCGGGGACAGAGUGACAGGUGGUGCAUGGUUGUCGUCAGCUCGUGUCGUGAGAUGUUGGGUUAAGUCCCGCAACGAGCGCAACCCUUGAUCUUAGUUGCCAGCAUUUAGUUGGGCACUCUAAGGUGACUGCCGGUGACAAACCGGAGGAAGGUGGGGAUGACGUCAAAUCAUCAUGCCCCUUAUGACCUGGGCUACACACGUGCUACAAUGGACGGUACAAAGAGUCGCAAGACCGCGAGGUGGAGCUAAUCUCAUAAAACCGUUCUCAGUUCGGAUUGUAGGCUGCAACUCGCCUACAUGAAGCUGGAAUCGCUAGUAAUCGCGGAUCAGCAUGCCGCGGUGAAUACGUUCCCGGGCCUUGUACACACCGCCCGCCACACCACGAGAGUUUGUAACACCCGAAGU